AUGGAAGGGAAGGAUUCUACUAGUGAGGAAGUAGUCAAGCCUUAUACUCGGACUACACUGGAUUUUGAUAUUGGAUACUUUGAGCUUGUUUUAAAGUUGAUAAUUUUGAAGCACCUCAAUGAGUCUUUUUACUUUGCUGGUCGUCAGUAUACUAUAGCAUGUUCAGUAGUUGCAGGCAACAGACUAUAUGGCAAUCAAACUGUUAGGUACAACUCUCUGUACAAGGGGUUUCGUGGUGACCCGAAGCGGCACACACCUACAUGCUGGUGUGCUGAGAAGAUCAAGCGCGCUAAGAAGAUCAAGCAGGCAGAGAAAAAAGUCCGUGGUUCUAGAUUCUCAGGCAAGGCAGAGAAGACUCAUGGUAGGCAGGGUGUGCUUGUCCGUACAAAAAACAUCGCACAUUUAAUGGCAGCUCAUCAUGUAGUAAAAACAUCAUACGUUGAAGACAUGUGGGAGGUUGAAGAUGAUGUUCGAUGA
RNAcentral lists this ribosomal RNA (477 nucleotides) under Triticum aestivum (bread wheat). Its description in RNAcentral is "partial small subunit ribosomal RNA". Lineage: Eukaryota; Viridiplantae; Streptophyta; Magnoliopsida; Poales; Poaceae. The record is from RNAcentral.